CUCUAAGAGCAUGCUUAGUACGGCGAGUGAGCGGCAAAAGCUCAAAUUUGAAAUCUGGCACCUUCGGUGUCCGAGUUGUAAUUUGAAGAAGGUAACUUUGGAGUUGGCUCUUGUCUAUGUUCCUUGGAACAGGACGUCACAGAGGGUGAGAAUCCCGUGCGAUGAGAUGCCCAAUUCUAUGUAAAGUGCUUUCGAAGAGUCGAGUUGUUUGGGAAUGCAGCUCUAAGUGGGUGGUAAAUUCCAUCUAAAGCUAAAUAUUGGCGAGAGACCGAUAGCGAACAAGUACAGUGAUGGAAAGAUGAAAAGAACUUUGAAAAGAGAGUGAAAAAGUACGUGAAAUUGUUGAAAGGGAAGGGCUUGAGAUCAGACUUGGUAUUUUGCGAUCCUUUCCUUCUUGGUUGGGUUCCUCGCAGCUUACUGGGCCAGCAUCGGUUUGGAUGGUAGGAUAAUGACUAAGGAAUGUGGCUCUACUUCGGUGGAGUGUUAUAGCCUUGGUUGAUACUGCCUGUCUAGACCGAGGACUGCGUCUUUUGACUAGGAUGUUGGCAUAAUGAUCUUAAGCCACCCGUCUGAACACCCGGACCAAAACAAAAAAGAAAAAAAAUUAAGUAA
RNAcentral lists this ribosomal RNA (612 nucleotides) under Debaryomyces hansenii. RNAcentral's name for it is "LSU rRNA". It matches the Rfam family "Eukaryotic large subunit ribosomal RNA", at positions 64 to 664 of the family's 3401-position model. Lineage: Eukaryota; Fungi; Ascomycota; Pichiomycetes; Serinales; Debaryomycetaceae. The record is from RNAcentral.